GCCAGGCACGGUGGCUCAUGCCUGUAAUCCCAGCACUUCGGGAGGCUGAGGCGGGUGGAUCACCUGAGGUCAGGAGUUCCGAGACCAGCCUGGCCAACAGGGUGAAAUCCCGUCUCUA
RNAcentral lists this non-coding RNA (118 nucleotides) under Chlorocebus sabaeus (green monkey). Lineage: Eukaryota; Metazoa; Chordata; Mammalia; Primates; Cercopithecidae. The record is from Rfam by way of RNAcentral.